Molecule: ribosomal RNA, 484 nt
Filed under: uncultured bacterium
Lineage: Bacteria
Description: partial 16S ribosomal RNA
Rfam family: Bacterial small subunit ribosomal RNA
Source: RNAcentral
AUUGAACGCUGGCGGCAGGCCUAACACAUGCAAGUCGAGCGGAUGAAGGGAGCUUGCUCCUGGAUUCCGCGGCGGACGGGUGAGUAAUGCCUAGGAAUCUGCCUGGUAGUGGGGGAUAACGUCCGGAAACGGGCGCUAAUACUGCAUACGUCCUGAGGGUGCAAGUGGGGGAUCUUCGGACCUCACGCUAUCAGAUGAGCCUAGGUCGGACUAGCUAGCUGGUGGGGUAAAGGCCUACCUAGCCGACGAUCCGUAACUGGUCUGAGUGGAAGAUCAGUCACACUGGAACGGGGACACGUUCCAGGGUACUACGAGAGGCAGCAGUGUGGAAUAUUAGACAGUGGUCGAGAGCCUGGUCCAGCCAUGCCGCGUGUGUGAAGAAGGUCUUCGGAGUGUAAUGCAGUUUAAGUUGGGGGAAAGGGCAGUAAGUUGAUACCUUGCUGGUGUGACGUUAACAACAGAAGAAGCACCGGCUAACUACGUG